AGUGAACGCUGGCGGCGUGCUUAACACAUGCAAGUCGAAUGAGAACGGAAUAUAGCUUGCUAUAUUUGUCAACUAAGUGGCGCACGGGUGAGUAAUGUAUAGAUAACCUGCCCUUAAGAAAGGAAUAACAGUUGGAAACGACUGCUAAUGCCCUAUAUGCCUUUAAUACAUAAGUAUGCAAGGGAAACGCUUUAGUGCUUAAGGAUGGGUCUGUAUGGUAUCAGCUUGUUGGUGAGGUAAUGGCUCACCAAGGCUAUGACGCCUAACUGGUUUGAGAGGAUGAUCAGUCACACUGGAACUGAGACACGGUCCAGACUCCUACGGGAGGCAGCAGUGGGGAAUAUUGCACAAUGGACGAAAGUCUGAUGCAGCAACGCCGCGUGGAGGAUGACACAUUUCGGUGCGUAAACUCCUUUUAUAUAGGAAGAUAAUGACGGUACUAUAUGAAUAAGCACCGGCUAACUCCGUGCCAGCCGCCGCGGUAA
This 485-nucleotide ribosomal RNA is filed under the name uncultured bacterium. RNAcentral describes it as "partial 16S ribosomal RNA". It matches the Rfam family "Bacterial small subunit ribosomal RNA", at positions 29 to 523 of the family's 1533-position model. The record is from RNAcentral.